GCGGUCAUGGCGGAAUUGGCAGACGCGCACGGUUGAGGGCCGUGUGGGGCAACCCGUGGAAGUUCGAGUCUUCUUGACCGCACCA
RNAcentral lists this transfer RNA (85 nucleotides) under Eubacteriales Family XIII. Incertae Sedis bacterium. RNAcentral describes it as "tRNA-Leu". It matches the Rfam family "tRNA". From Rfam's summary of the family: Transfer RNA (tRNA) molecules are approximately 80 nucleotides in length. Their secondary structure includes four short double-helical elements and three loops (D, anti-codon, and T loops). The record is from RNAcentral. Lineage: Bacteria; Bacillati; Bacillota; Clostridia; Peptostreptococcales; Anaerovoracaceae.